GGGUGAGUAACACGUAUGCAACCUGCCCCUGUCAGGGGGACAACCCGCCGAAAGGCGGGCUAAACCCGCGUACAUGCCACCGGGGCAUCCCGGAGGCAGGAAAGGCUUCGGCCGGACAGGGAUGGGCAUGCGGCGCAUUAGGCAGUAGGCGGGGUAACGGCCCACCUAACCGACGAUGCGUAGGGGUUCUGAGAGGAAGGUCCCCCACACUGGUACUGAGACACGGACCAGACUCCUACGGGAGGCAGCAGUGAGGAAUAUUGGUCAAUGGUCGGGAGACUGAACCAGUCAAGCCGCGUGAGGGAUGAAGGUACAGAGUAUCGUAAACCUCUUUUGUCAGGGAACAAAGGCGGGGACGUGUCCCCGGAUGAGUGUACCUGAAGAAAAAGCAUCGGCUAACUCCGUGCCGGCAGCCGCGGUAAUACGGAGGAUGCGAGCGUUAUCCGGAUUUAUUGGGUUUAAAGGGUGCGCAGGCGGUCUGUUAAGUCAGCGGUCAAAGCCCGGGGCUCAACCCCGGCCCGCCGUUGAAACUGGCAGUCUCGAGUUGGAGAGAAGUAUGCGGAAUGCGCGGUGUAGCGGUGAAAUGCAUAGAUAUCGCGCAGAACUCCGAUUGCGAAGGCAGCAUGCCGGCUCCACACUGACGCUGAGGCACGAAAGCGUGGGUAUCGAACAGGAUUAGAUACCCUGGUAGUCCACGCAGUAAACGAU
RNAcentral lists this ribosomal RNA (708 nucleotides) under uncultured bacterium. RNAcentral's name for it is "bacterial SSU rRNA". It matches the Rfam family "Bacterial small subunit ribosomal RNA", at positions 104 to 810 of the family's 1533-position model. The record is from RNAcentral.